RNAcentral lists this ribosomal RNA (484 nucleotides) under uncultured bacterium. RNAcentral describes it as "partial 16S ribosomal RNA". It matches the Rfam family "Bacterial small subunit ribosomal RNA", at positions 29 to 507 of the family's 1533-position model. The record is from RNAcentral.
AUUGAACGCUGGCGGCAUGCUUUACACAUGCAAGUCGAACGGCAGCGCGGGCUUCGGCCUGGCGGCGAGUGGCGAACGGGUGAGUAAUACAUCGGAACGUGCCCGGUAGUGGGGGAUAGCUCGGCGAAAGCCGGAUUAAUACCGCAUACGACCUGAGGGUGAAAGCGGGGGAUCUUCGGACCUCGCGCUAUUGGAGCGGCCGAUGGCAGAUUAGCUAGUUGGUGGGGUAAAGGCCUACCAAGGCGACGAUCUGUAGCUGGUCUGAGAGGACGACCAGCCACACUGGGACUGAGACACGGCCCAGACUCCUAAGGGAGGCAGCAGUGGGGAAUUUUGGACAAUGGGCGAAAGCAUUAUCCAGCAAUGCCGCGUGUGUGAUGAAGGCCUUCGGGUUGUAAAGCACUUUUGGCGGGAACGAAAAGGACUGUGCCAAUACCACGGUUCGAUGACGGUACCCGCAGAAUAAGCACCGGCUAACUACGUG